AUUAUAUUUUGUUAUGUUUGGUGGGACACGAUUUUGAAAGGUACCUUUCCAGCCCUGUGUAGCUUAACUAGGGAUAAGGAUGAGAUGGUAACUAAUGGAUUUUCAUUUGGCGACAAUGGAAAUUGAAUUUCAAGAAUAGGAAUUGGAGGAUGUUAAGAUCUGUAGGGGAGAACCUGAUGGAAUCGACAUCAAUCCAAACAUGGAGGAUACCAUCAGAUGCUCAAAGUAGCAAAAACUGCGCUUUUCUGUAAAAAAUUUUACAACCCAGGAGGCUAGCUAGGACCAGCAGUUUUUGUACGUUUGUUGUGAAGAUCUAAGGUUUCUUAAAAGCCUUUUUUUUUUUUUUGUGGCCUUGAGAGGCACCUUGGGAGGCUAUUCUAACAAGGGGAAGCCUUAGGUAAAGAGGUUUUGUCUUUGUGAACUGGUGCUAUAUGUGUAAGGAGAUGGGUAGAGUUUGAACAAUAUCCUUCUUCACUGUCCUGUUGCCAGAUAGCUUUGGAGCCUGAUUUGGCAAUGGUUCAAUAUUGCAUGGGUUAUGCCAAAUUGUUUAUCUUCGUUGUUUCGCUACAGGGAAAGGGUGGGAAUGUCAACAAAGGUUGACGAUAGCUUGGAUCAGCGAACCUCAUGGUGUGAAAAUGAGCAAGCUGGCUGUAUCCUUGUAGUCGGCGGGCUGGCACCUCCUUGGUUCCCUUCUAAACAUGCCUUCUUUUUAAGAAGAAGAAAAACACUUGGCUUAUGCAUGGUUUCAUAACAAGCACAAAAUUUUGCAGGAAGGUUUGCCAAUUUACACUCAAGUUAUGGAUGGCGUUUAUGAGCCUACUGGAUUGGUAUAGUUGAUUGUUAUUUGAUUUUAGUUAUAUUUCUUUAACAUGAUUAUUUGUUUGUGCAUCAUCUGUUGGAAUUGAUGUGUUGCCAUUUGCUCCUUGUUCUUACUCUUCCUGUUCUAAUUCAGCUGACAUGGGUAGGGGCACGCGUCUGAGUGUUUGUGGGGGGGGGGGGGGGGGGGGGGGAUGCUGUGUACAUAAAUUUUAUGAAAGGCAAACAUAUAAAAAUGACUUAAUUUAGACUAAUAUAUGACUCUGGUUACAACUUACAUAAAGCAUACUAUGCAUGUAUGUACAUAUUGUACCCACUUCUGGCAUACUAGUUUUUGUUACCGUGAGUAAUACCUAUCAAGCAUUUUUAAUGAAGAAAGAAAAAGAGCAAUAUCAUGGAUCCUGCUUUGGAGGGCUAUUGGGAGGAGAUGGAGGCAUAUUUGGUAUCCAAGCGCUUGGGUCUCCUAGAUUAAACGCUGGGGAAGGGGGAGGAGGAGAGGAUGAAGGGAUAUUGGGUAUCCAAGUGCUUGGGUCUCCUAGAUUAAAUGCAGGGGGAGGUGGAGGAGCGAAUGUUGGGAGAUGUGGUGCCCAUGUUCCUGGGUCUCCCAGAUUAAAUGCAGGCGGAGGAGGUGGUUGAGCUGGCAUUGGAAGAGUAGGAGGAACAGGUGGGAACGGGAAAGGCAAGGGCGGUGGUUUUGUGAAUGAUGGUGGUGGGAAGGGGAAAGAUGGGAAAGGUGGCAAUGGGGGGAAUGGUAUUGUGGGCAAAGGUGGUAGCUGUGGUAAAGGAGGCCAAGUGAAAUUAAAUGGUGGAAAAGAAGGGAGAAAU
Malania oleifera is the source of this 1641-nucleotide long non-coding RNA. RefSeq lists it as uncharacterized. The transcript has 2 exons. The record is from RefSeq and is a predicted model, not a curated record. Lineage: Eukaryota; Viridiplantae; Streptophyta; Magnoliopsida; Santalales; Ximeniaceae.